This 244-nucleotide long non-coding RNA is filed under the name Olea europaea (common olive). RNAcentral describes it as "long non-coding RNA (OEUR_LNC010250)". The record is from RNAcentral. Lineage: Eukaryota; Viridiplantae; Streptophyta; Magnoliopsida; Lamiales; Oleaceae.
GCAAAUCUUAAUCGGUUCAUCGGCUAUAGCUUCUAAUAGAAUGGUGGUAUCAUGCUCCUUAGCCAUCAUCUGUAUUUCAAUAUCAUCAGACCUACUGGUCGUCUUUUGAUCAUCACUCAUGUCUUGGCAUAUCUUAAUUGUCUUAUCAUUUGUAGCUUCUGAUCGAAUGGUGAUAUUUUGCUCCCUGUCCAUCCUCGGUAUUUCAAUAUCAUCAAGUUCACUGAUCAUCUUGUGAUCAUCAGUC